RNAcentral lists this ribosomal RNA (292 nucleotides) under uncultured bacterium. RNAcentral's name for it is "partial 16S ribosomal RNA". It matches the Rfam family "Bacterial small subunit ribosomal RNA", at positions 44 to 334 of the family's 1533-position model. The record is from RNAcentral.
GUGCCUAACACAUGCAAGUCGAACGAGAAAGUCCCCGCAAGGGGAUGAGUAAAGUGGCGACCGGGUGAGUAACACGUGACUAACCUGCCUUCGAGUGGGGAAUAACCUCGGGAAACCGGGGCUAAUACCGCAUAACAUUCCAAUUCGAGACGAUUGGAAUCAAAGGAGCAAUUCGCUUGAAGAGGGGGUCGCGGCCGAUUAGCUAGUUGGCGGGGUAACGGCCCACCAAGGCAGUGAUCGGUAGCCGGCCUGAGAGGGCGCACGGCCACACUGGAACUGAAACACGGUCCAG